UCGAGCGGACAGAAGGGAGCUUGCUCCCGGAUGUUAGCGGCGGACGGGUGAGUAACACGUGGGUAACCUGCCUGUAAGACUGGGAUAACUCCGGGAAACCGGAGCUAAUACCGGAUAGUUCCUUGAACCGCAUGGUUCAAGGAUGAAAGACGGUUUCGGCUGUCACUUACAGAUGGACCCGCGGCGCAUUAGCUAGUUGGUGAGGUAACGGCUCACCAAGGCGACGAUGCGUAGCCGACCUGAGAGGGUGAUCGGCCACACUGGGACUGAGACACGGCCCAGACUCAUACGGGAGGCAGCAGUAGGGAAUCUUCCGCAAUGGACGAAAGUCUGACGGAGCAACGCCGCGUGAGUGAUGAAGGUUUUCGGAUCGUAAAGCUCUGUUGUUAGGGAAGAACAAGUGCAAGAGUAACUGCUUGCACCUUGACGGUACCUAACCAGAAAGCCACGGCUAACUACGUGCCAGCAGCCGCGGUAAUACGUAGGUGGCAAGCGUUGUCCGGAAUUAUUGGGCGUAAAGGGCUCGCAGGCGGUUUCUUAAGUCUGAUGUGAAAGCCCCCGGCUCAACCGGGGAGGGUCAUUGGAAACUGGGAAACUUGAGUGCAGAAGAGGAGAGUGGAAUUCCACGUGUAGCGGUGAAAUGCGUAGAGAUGUGGAGGAACACCAGUGGCGAAGGCGACUCUCUGGUCUGUAACUGACGCUGAGGAGCGAAAGCGUGGGGAGCGAACAGGAUUAGAUACCCUGGUAGUCCAC
This 753-nucleotide ribosomal RNA is filed under the name Bacillus pumilus. RNAcentral describes it as "bacterial SSU rRNA". It matches the Rfam family "Bacterial small subunit ribosomal RNA", at positions 62 to 798 of the family's 1533-position model. Lineage: Bacteria; Bacillati; Bacillota; Bacilli; Caryophanales; Bacillaceae. The record is from RNAcentral.